AUGUCUACGUUAGAGGGUUCGGAGACUGCUGAUUCCAUGGAUGAGGAUACGAGUCAAAUACCACAUGUUAGAAGGUCCAAGGUAUGGGAGCAUUAUGAAGUAGAUUUGGUUCUCGUAGAUGGUGAUUUCAAGGCUGUGUGCAAAUACUGUGGAGCGCAACUUCACACCAAGUUUGGGACUAGCAGUUUGAGGACCCAUAUUGCAGAGGCU
This 210-nucleotide ribosomal RNA is filed under the name Triticum aestivum (bread wheat). RNAcentral's name for it is "partial small subunit ribosomal RNA". The record is from RNAcentral. Lineage: Eukaryota; Viridiplantae; Streptophyta; Magnoliopsida; Poales; Poaceae.